RNAcentral lists this transfer RNA (73 nucleotides) under Rhodococcus (subgen. Prescottella) equi. RNAcentral's name for it is "Prescottella equi tRNA-His". Lineage: Bacteria; Bacillati; Actinomycetota; Actinomycetes; Mycobacteriales; Nocardiaceae. The record is from RNAcentral.
GGACGACUUGGUGUAGCGGAAGCACGCCCCCCAGUGGAGGGGGUAGGUCGGGUUCGAAUCCCGAAGUUGUCCG